RNAcentral lists this long non-coding RNA (388 nucleotides) under Elaeis guineensis (African oil palm). RNAcentral describes it as "long non-coding RNA (EGUI_LNC043766)". Lineage: Eukaryota; Viridiplantae; Streptophyta; Magnoliopsida; Arecales; Arecaceae. The record is from RNAcentral.
ACUAGUGAUACCUAGCAGUAUGUAGUGGCAACCCAAUAGAACCGAAAAAGAACCUCAAGGUGUAGUUAAUAUGUGAUUCAAUCCCUUUAUCGUGACUUCCGAUCAGAUGAUAAGUCAUGGAUAAAUCGUCAAACCUCAUCAUUAGUCAUAUGAUAGAUUCGAUCAGUUCAAGUCCAAUUAUGAUCCUCAUAGAAAUUUUUUUCAUCAAUUACACUACUGUGGCUACAUAUUCGGAUUUAGUCUCUCAAAUUUUAUAGGACUACUUUUCUCUAUCAAGAUCGAUAGAUUUUAUCUAGAUACGUACAUACUCCUACAAUGGACCAACUAUUGCCAACAUCCACUACAAGAUCUCAUGAGAUCAUAUUUAUGUGUCAGUCAAACUCCAGCA